Molecule: transfer RNA, 68 nt
Filed under: Rediviva intermixta
Lineage: Eukaryota; Metazoa; Arthropoda; Insecta; Hymenoptera; Melittidae
Description: tRNA-Phe
Rfam family: tRNA
About the family: Transfer RNA (tRNA) molecules are approximately 80 nucleotides in length. Their secondary structure includes four short double-helical elements and three loops (D, anti-codon, and T loops). Further hydrogen bonds mediate the characteristic L-shaped molecular structure. tRNAs have two regions of fundamental functional importance: the anti-codon, which is responsible for specific mRNA codon recognition, and the 3' end, to which the tRNAs corresponding amino acid is attached (by aminoacyl-tRNA synthetases). tRNAs cope with the degeneracy of the genetic code in two manners: having more than one tRNA (with a specific anti-codon) for a particular amino acid; and 'wobble' base-pairing, i.e. permitting non-standard base-pairing at the 3rd anti-codon position.
Source: RNAcentral
AUUUAAAUAGCUUAAAUAGUAAAGCAUAAUACUGAAAAUAUUAAAAUAAUUUGACCAAUUUUUAAAUA